RNAcentral lists this ribosomal RNA (497 nucleotides) under uncultured bacterium. RNAcentral's name for it is "partial 16S ribosomal RNA". It matches the Rfam family "Bacterial small subunit ribosomal RNA", at positions 28 to 507 of the family's 1533-position model. The record is from RNAcentral.
GAUGAACGCUGGCGGCGUGCCUAAUACAUGCAAGUCGAGCGAACGGACGAGAAGCUUGCUUCUCUGAUGUUAGCGGCGGACGGGUGAGUAACACGUGGAUAACCUACCUAUAAGACUGGGAUAACUUCGGGAAACCGUAGCUAAUACUGGAUAAUAUUUUGAACCGCAUGGUUCAAAAGUGAAAGACGGUCUUGCUGUCACUUAUAGAUGGAUCCGCGCUGCAUUAGCUAGUUGGUAAGGUAACGGCUUACCAAGGCAACGAUGCAUAGCCGACCUGAGAGGGUGAUCGGCCACACUGGAACGUAGACACGGUCCAGACUCCUACGGGAGGCAGCAGUAGGGAAUCUUCCGCAAUGGGCGAAAGCCUGACGGAGCAACGCCGCGUGAGUGAUGAAGGUCUUCGGAUCGUAAAACUCUGUUAUUAGGGAAGAACAUAUGUGUAAGUAACUGUGCACAUCUUGACGGUACCUAAUCAGAAAGCCACGGCUAACUACGUG